Salvia hispanica is the source of this 798-nucleotide long non-coding RNA. RefSeq lists it as uncharacterized. The record is from RefSeq and is a predicted model, not a curated record. Lineage: Eukaryota; Viridiplantae; Streptophyta; Magnoliopsida; Lamiales; Lamiaceae.
GUUCUUUCUCUUUCUCCCAUCGGCGCCUCUCUCUGCCGCCUGCCGUCGUCUUUGCUUCUCUGCCUCCACUCGAAUUGUGCAAGGCGUCACUUCGGCAUUUAUAAAUAAUGGUGACAUAUUCGAUUUUGGCUUUGCUCGACUGGGAUGGAGGAGAAGUAGAUGGAUCCAUACAUGCUUUUUUAGUAUGGGAGGCAUUGGAAAAAACAGCAUAAUCCGAAGAAAUUUGCUAAGGCAUGUGGUUUAUUCGACAAAAAGAAGAUAUCGUUAGAGUACGUGGGUGGUUCCACUUCACUAGUUACGUUGAAUGUGUGGAAGGGGCAGCGGGUAUGGUUUGGUUCGGGUUGGUCCACAUUCAUCGAUGCAAACCGGAUCUUAGACGACAUCACUGGUUCUAGAAAAAUACCCUCUCUCGAGUUCGAUUCCAUAGUGAAUCUGAUUAGGGUUCAGCAACGCCACAAUUGAAUUCCUGUUGUAAUAGUUUUGUGCUUGAAUUGUAGUGAUAAGAUUAGACGACAUCACUGGUUCUAGAAAAAUAUUCUCUCUCGAGUUCGAUCUUUGAUUAGGGUUCAGCAACGCCACAAUUGAAUUCCUGUUGUAAUAGUUUUGCGUUUGAAUUGUAGUGAUAAGAUUAGACGACAUCACUGGUUCUAGAAAAAUACUCUCUCUCGAGUUCGAUCCCAUAGUGAAUCUGAUUAGGGUUCAGCAGUGCCACAAUUGAAUUCCUGUUGUAAUAGUUUUGAGUUUAUAUUGUAGUGAUAAGAUUAUGAGUAUGACUAAUGUCUCAAACUAAUGCUAAUA